GCUGUCAGUGGAGAUGGCAUACCUCCCUUAACCGCCGGUCACGGCUGAUGAUGCCUACGCAAGG
RNAcentral lists this non-coding RNA (64 nucleotides) under Burkholderiales bacterium. Its description in RNAcentral is "Fluoride sequence". It matches the Rfam family "Fluoride riboswitch aptamer (crcB RNA motif)". The record is from RNAcentral. Lineage: Bacteria; Pseudomonadati; Pseudomonadota; Betaproteobacteria; Burkholderiales.